GACCCCGUCUAGCCCACCCCCAUCUCUCACCUCCCACCCCAGGUUGGUUUACUAGAUGCUAGAGAUUUUGAACUUAUAAAUGCUAUUAAUAUUUGAUUACUAUGACUAUUCCAAUAUAAUAAAAUAAUUAUUAAAAAGGUGAAAAUUACAUGUCAUAUGUGCCUGCUAAGUGCCUGGCACUCUUCUAGGUCCCGAGGAUGUAUAACCUAGAACAUGUCCCUGCCCUCAAAGAAUAUACAUUUAGUAGAGCGACAAGCAAUAAAUCCAUAACUAAGAAGAUAUAUAGAGGCAUGGGGACCUGGGGCUUGGGGUGGUCAAGGGGAAGGAGGGAGGAUAGAGUAGGGGAUGAGCAUUUCGCUGCAGUUGGUCGCAGGGCCACCAGUGGAGAGCUGUGCCGGGAGGGCCUGGGUCCCAUGGCAGAGGCACCAUGAGCCGCCAGGCCUGCUGCUCAACCGGGGAAUCCUCGGAGUGACCUCAAGGUCCCAUCAGCCGUGUUCGGACCUGGUAACUUACGAGCUUAAAAUUAAAUUUAGUUCUGAAAAAAUGCAGCUUUUUUAUUUGAGACAAACCAUGUUGAAGACUGAGACUGGAGUUUAACCUUUGAGGAUAUAGUAAAUCUUUGGGAAAGUCUGUAAUUUAUGCAGCUAAAAUGUGAAUCCUGAGAUGGAAUCUCUAAAAGGCCAGUACAAGGGAUAGAUAUUGGUGGAAGCAUUUACACCCAGGCAGCUUGAAGCGUUCCAAAUGGAUCCUGCCACUGAGAAUUCAACUUGGCAGUCCACAGUGGGAGAUACAAGAGUGCUGUGAUAAUAUACAAGACAGGGUUCUUUUAACAUGGAUUUCAUGAAAUGAAUGAAGACAAUAGGUUUCUUACCCAACACAAAUGGACAGUGGAUUUGACUUUCUAAA
Myotis davidii is the source of this 906-nucleotide long non-coding RNA. RefSeq lists it as uncharacterized. The record is from RefSeq and is a predicted model, not a curated record. The transcript has 2 exons. Lineage: Eukaryota; Metazoa; Chordata; Mammalia; Chiroptera; Vespertilionidae.